RNAcentral lists this long non-coding RNA (887 nucleotides) under Danio rerio (zebrafish). RNAcentral describes it as "lncRNA si:cabz01083815.1 (ENSDARG00000105488.2)". The record is from RNAcentral. Lineage: Eukaryota; Metazoa; Chordata; Actinopteri; Cypriniformes; Danionidae.
AAAACAUUAUCAUUAAUUUCUAUAAAAGUCUUUACAAGUCCAUCUAAACAAACAAGUCAAGCUAGAUGUUUUUACUGCAAUGCACUUGAACACAUUUAUAUAACUGCAUGUGUUAUAAAUUAAUUACCAAUCUUAUUUAGGAGAAAUAAAUGAAAAGACCUCAAGCCUUUUUUGCAAUAUUAACAUGCAAAUUUUAAUUAUUUAUUUUCUGUUUUACAGCUUUUUAUCUUUUGUAAAAAGGCAGAUGCACAAAACUUCAAAAACGUGUCCAUUAAUAGACUAAUGUAAGUCGAUUUCUGCUGUAUUGCAUAGAUUGCAAAUAUUUACCACUGAAAAUGACAUUAAUGUUUUUCCCCAUCUAGACAAGGCAGUGUUAUUGCCGAAAGCACUGCAGAAUAUAACUAUCCCAACAACAACACCCAAAUACAGUUUCUAAAUAACAAUUUGGGGCAAACGCUUGAAAGAAUAUUAAAUGACUCCGAAUCAUUUCAAAAUCUCAGCGCAGCUCUCAAUGCAUCAAUUGAGGUCACUCGAAUAACCAUGGGCAAAGUUGAAAUAUUGAAUAUUUCACAGGUAAAACCAUUUGUGAACUGUCCAGUCAAUCUUGAAAACUUAACGCAAGAGCUGGACAAUGGAGUAUGGGUGUGUGUGGGACCAUGCAAAGCAAAUCCAGACUUCUGCAAUCAUCAUGGUGAAUGCCAAAAUGCAAUAAAUGGCGCAGUGUGCAACUGUACAAGCUCUUACUUUGAGAAGUACUAUGGAGAUCAGUGCGAGCAGUACAGCAGAGGUCCAGGUUUCUACGCUGUUCUCUUCGGCAGUUUAGCAGCUUUAGCUCUACUCAUCAUCAUUACAGUUGUGAUGGUUGUAGUUUUUCACAGAGCCAGAAG